RNAcentral lists this ribosomal RNA (449 nucleotides) under uncultured bacterium. Its description in RNAcentral is "partial 16S ribosomal RNA". It matches the Rfam family "Bacterial small subunit ribosomal RNA", at positions 29 to 523 of the family's 1533-position model. The record is from RNAcentral.
AACGAACGCUGGCGGCAGGCUUAACACAUGCAAGUCGAACGAGAUCUUCGGAUCUAGUGGCAGACGGGUGAGGAACACGUGGGAACAUCCCUUUCAGUUCGGAAUAACGUUGGGAAACUAACGCUAAUACCGGAUACGUCCUUCGGGAGAAAGAUUUAUCGCUGAAAGAUUGGCCCGCGUCUGAUUAGCUAGUUGGUGAGGUAAUGGCUCACCAAGGCUACGAUCAGUAGCUGAUCUGAGAGGAUGAUCAGCCACAUUGGGACUGAGACACGGCCCAAACUCCUACGGGAGGCAGCAGUGGGGAAUAUUGGGCAAUGGGCGCAAGCCUGAUCCAGCCAUGCCGCGUGAGUGAUGACGGCCUUCGGGUUGUAAAGCUCUUUUGUCCGGGAAGAUAAUGACUGUACCGGAAGAAUAAGCCCCGGCAAACUUCGUGCCAGCAGCAGCCGCAG